Molecule: long non-coding RNA, 2487 nt
Organism: Oreochromis niloticus (Nile tilapia)
Lineage: Eukaryota; Metazoa; Chordata; Actinopteri; Cichliformes; Cichlidae
Exons: 2
Source: RefSeq, a predicted model, not a curated record
UGUAGCUGCUAGCUGUCUGCUAGCUUCACCUGAGCUGGACCUCUGGACCGUGUUUGCGCUGUUGGAGCCUUUUUAAUGACAUCAUAUGUCUGCUGUGAGGUUACUGUAGUAACAGAAGGCGGAGCUGCAGAUAUGAUGAAAUUCUGCAGCAGUCUAACUUCUGCUCUUCAGUUCUAUUUAAUUUAAUUUUUACUUCUCUUAUUGAAUUUAUUUUGGUGCCUUAUUAACUCCUGUACUCUGCUAUUGAUCUUAAAUAAUUUCAUUUCAUUUUUCUUAAAUAAUUUCAGAAAACUGAUUUCAUUUCAUUAAAUAAAGAGGAGAAGACACUGAAGGUGGAGGCAGGGAAACAUUGAGGAAGCUAAAAACCUGAAUCAGAUUGUUUUAUGGAUCAUGGAACAAACUGCUGAAAUCUGGACUUUCCUGCAGCUCUAAGGAGGCGAUUCCUCGGAGAACCCUGGAACUUCUUCUGUUCUGCUGUGUGUGUUUCCAGAUGCCACGACCGGCUUCUUUUCCUUCUCCUCCACAUCUAUAAAAGGUAUUUUGAUCUCUGUGCAUCAGAUGGGGGAGUGGAGUGGCCUGCUGAGCUGAAUUCCCAGCGGAAGGCUUGAGUGGGCUUCUUCAGACCAGCUCUUCCACCGGGGAUUUCCCCAUCAGCGCUCCAUUUCCUGUCAGUGAGUAACUCGACUCCCGGCCGAGGCUCCCGAAGGCUGAGAUGACUCACAGUGAGCCGAGCGCCGGCGGUUUAUUCGACAGAGAUGCAGUAAUAAUUAAUAAGCUCGUGGACGUUUGUAUUCUGCAGGGACGUUUUCAGGACAGGACGCCGACCGAGCCAGCCAGCCAGGGCAUGGCCCCUCUUCUCCGGGGAAGAUGACCGUCUCCUCCCGCAGUGCGAUCCUGGAGGAUGAAUCGGUCCAGCUCUCGGGCACCAGACUCCGCCGUAAAUCUCGCUGAAAUGUGAUCAGCCUCGUCAGCUCACACCGGCACGGAAACACUGACAAUCAAAGUUUAGUUUUUAUGAAUCACUGAUGCUUUCUGUGUAAUUCGGCGCUAAAUUUGAAUUAUAGCUUGGAAACGUAACGUCAGGACACAGAGGUUUUUACACGCGUUGAGAAGUUUUACCACUCAUGCGCAAAAUCAGUAAAGUGUGAGUUAUGUUUCUGUCCCUGAUCAGCUGAUCCUGCUUGAUCAUUGGUCCUUCAGGUAAAUCACGUCACACUGUGAUCAUCCAAACUAAACACGCGGCAUGAAAACAUUUAAAUAAAAAUAAAACUUGAAUCAAAGGAAAAAUUACGUUUGUUAAGACUUUGUCUUAAACACUUCCCCUGAAAAAUUUCACCAAUAUUAGAAUUUUAAAAAACUAUAAGAUGGAAGAUUACGUCUGUCAUCACUCUGUUUCCUUGUGUGCCUGUUUGUAUUUAUCUGUGAUGUUUAGUGUCUUUCAGUAUUUUUACUUUCACUAACUGAAACCAGGACUUUUACUUUAUAAAGAGUGUCUGAAAGUGUACACACACAAACACACACACACAAACACACAAACACACACUGGUACUUUUACUCCAAAGGACAUCGUGUCUGUUUGAGACUACAUACUGUGUCAGUAUUAAACUGGACCCGUUCUCCUUUCCCCGUCGUAUCCCUCCUGUUUCUGUGGUGGAUUUUCAGAUUGAAUAUGUCCAGUGUUUCUAAUUGUGAGCUCAGUGUGUGAGCGAGCCAAAGCUCAGGCUCACACUGCUGUAAACACUCAGUUUAUUACAGUUUUUGUACUCUCAGAUCUGUCUGAUGUCACAAAGGUCAUGGUUAAAGCGAGCACAGCCAGAGCUCUUUCCCCAAUAAAGCCAACAUCUGUCGAUCUGUCUAAUAUUUGACGACAAUCAGAUUCAUUUCCAGGUUUUUCUCCUUCUGUUCAGAUCAGGAAAGAGAAACGAGGGUUACCCUCGUCGACACCUGAGGGGUAAAGAGUUAAAGGUUCUCGCUGUCCUUUAACUAUAACAUUCACCACCAGGGGGCAGCAUUUUACCAGUGAGAGCGAUUCAUGAAAUAGUUUCCUGGGCACGAGUUUACCACCCUUACUUUUGAGUUCCUGAACAGCCUGUCACCAGGUCGGUCUCACACGGACAGUUAUGAGUCCACGAUGUGACUAUUUCUUCUUUUAAAGGCUGAAAACGUUCAAACCAGAGACCACAGCUGGCCUGGCCGUUCCAACUCAGGACCUUUUCACUAUGAGACAAUAAUGCUAACAUCUGCUCCACACCAGCAGCAGUCUGUCCACACUCGGUUGAUGGUGUCCGUAAAAUUUGAAACAAACAAAGAAAAAGAGAAGUUUACAGAAACUGAGGGUGUGCAGUGACCUUCACCGUGACCCCUGACCCUACAGAGGUCAUACAGCUGCUUUAACACAACAUCAGACUUUCAGCAACACACGAUCAAUGAGCACGCUGACUUUCAGGGUAAUAAACAGAAAUCUUUGGUAGUUUGAAAGGCAGGAAA